This 789-nucleotide long non-coding RNA is filed under the name Homo sapiens (human). RNAcentral describes it as "HSALNT0408806". Lineage: Eukaryota; Metazoa; Chordata; Mammalia; Primates; Hominidae. The record is from RNAcentral.
CACCUCGGCCUCCCAAAGUGCUGGAAUUACAGGUGUGAGCCACUGCAUCCGGCCGAAUUCAGCAGUUUCACUUUCAAGUAAUGCGUAAAUGGGAUAUCAGUCUCUCCCCAGUGAUGCCUGCUACCUUUAUGAGUCUCCCCUGGAUUCGGCUGGUCACCAGUUUUGCCUUGACAUACUCCCACUCUGUGAUGAGUCCCUUCCUCCAGCAAGAUUCAAUAUCCUAAGUCCCACAAUCUGGGACAAUGACCCACAGGGUCUCUUGACAGACCAACAACCAUAGGUGGGGUCAACUCCACACCCCUAAUCAGCAGGAAGCAGUUGGAAGAUGAGACCUCAGCCCCAGUGUCAAAGAUUUGUCAUUGGUGUUCUGAGGGGUGUUACGGUGGUGGGAUGUGGAGUCCUGAGAAUAAGCAACAAUGAGAAAGGGGCCAGGUGGGCCCCAGGUGGGGAAGAACAAUGAACACAAACAACCAGAGGGCACACCUUCCACACAGUGGCCCCAGCAGCAUGACCUCUUUCUGCACCUACCCGCCUCCAGCAUGACCCUAUAAAACUUCCCUCCAGCCCCUGCCUCUUUGCAGACAGCUCCUCUGCAGUGCUGCCCAUUGCAUCCUUGCAACAUAUUUUCAUAUAUUCUCUAAUAAAUCUGCCUUUCGUUACCUGUGACUGUCUCCGUAAAUUUCUUUAGCACCUGCACCACUGGCCAGUCACACCCACGACAGAGUUAAUAUUUCUAUAACUCUUAGAAUAGUGCCUAGCACAUAACAAGUGUUAUGUAGGUGUUUGUUA